CGGCGGACGGGUGAGUAAUGCCUAGGAAUCUGCCUGGUAGUGGGGGACAACGUUUCUAAAGGAACGCUAAUACCGCAUACGUCCUACGGGAGAAAGCAGGGGACCUUCGGGCCUUGCGCUAUCAGAUGAGCCUAGGUCGGAUUAGCUAGUUGGUGAGGUAAUGGCUCACCAAGGCGACGAUCCGUAACUGGUCUGAGAGGAUGAUCAGUCACACUGGAACUGAGACACGGUCCAGACUCCUACGGGAGGCAGCAGUG
Molecule: ribosomal RNA, 257 nt
Filed under: uncultured Pseudomonas sp.
Lineage: Bacteria; Pseudomonadati; Pseudomonadota; Gammaproteobacteria; Pseudomonadales; Pseudomonadaceae
Description: partial 16S ribosomal RNA
Rfam family: Bacterial small subunit ribosomal RNA
Source: RNAcentral